GGCGGCGUGCCUAAUACAUGCAAGUCGAGCGGACAGAUGGGAGCUUGCUCCCUGAUGUUAGCGGCGGACGGGUGAGUAACACGUGGGUAACCUGCCUGUAAGACUGGGAUAACUCCGGGAAACCGGGGCUAAUACCGGAUGCUUGUUUGAACCGCAUGGUUCAAACAUAAAAGGUGGCUUCGGCUACCACUUACAGAUGGACCCGCGGCGCAUUAGCUAGUUGGUGAGGUAAUGGCUCACCAAGGCAACGAUGCGUAGCCGACCUGAGAGGGUGAUCGGCCACACUGGGACUGAGACACGGCCCAGACUCCUACGGGAGGCAGCAGUAGGGAAUCUUCCGCAAUGGACGAAAGUCUGACGGAGCAACGCCGCGUGAGUGAUGAAGGUUUUCGGAUCGUAAAGCUCUGUUGUUAGGGAAGAACAAGUGCCGUUCAAAUAGGGCGGCACCUUGACGGUACCUAACCAGAAAGCCACGGGUAACUACGUGCCA
Molecule: ribosomal RNA, 490 nt
Filed under: Bacillus subtilis
Lineage: Bacteria; Bacillati; Bacillota; Bacilli; Caryophanales; Bacillaceae
Description: bacterial SSU rRNA
Rfam family: Bacterial small subunit ribosomal RNA
Source: RNAcentral